RNAcentral lists this ribosomal RNA (253 nucleotides) under uncultured bacterium. RNAcentral describes it as "partial 16S ribosomal RNA". It matches the Rfam family "Bacterial small subunit ribosomal RNA", at positions 524 to 776 of the family's 1533-position model. The record is from RNAcentral.
UACAGAGGUCUCAAGCGUUGUUCGGAUUCAUUGGGCGUAAAGGGUGCGUAGGCGGCGCGGUAAGUCGGGUGUGAAAUCUCGGAGCUUAACUCCGAAACUGCAUUCGAUACUGCCGUGCUUGAGGACUGGAGAGGAGACUGGAAUUUACGGUGUAGCGGUGAAAUGCGUAGAUAUCGAGAGGAACACCGGUGGCGAAGGCGGCCUUCUGGACAGUGACUGACGCUGAGACGCGAAGGCGUGGGGAGCAAACAGG